AUUGAACGCUGGCGGCAUGCCUUACACAUGCAAGUCGAACGCGAAAGGGGGGCAACCCCUGAGUAGAGUGGCGCACGGGUGAGUAAUGCAUCGGAACGUGUCCUGUAGCGGGGGAUAACCUAGCGAAAGCUAGGCUAAUACCGCAUACGCCCUAAGGGGGAAAGUGGGGGAUCGUAAGACCUCACACUAUAGGAGCGGCCGAUGCCGGAUUAGCUAGUUGGUGGGGUAACAGCUCACCAAGGCGACGAUCCGUAGCUGGUCUGAGAGGAUGAUCAGCCACACUGGGACUGAGACACGGCCCAGACUCCUACGGGAGGCAGCAGUGGGGAAUUUUGGACAAUGGGGGAAACCCUGAUCCAGCCAUGCCGCGUGAGUGAAGAAGGCCUUCGGGUUGUAAAGCUCUUUCGGCCGGGACGAAAUCGCACGCGUGAAUAUCGUGUGCGGAUGACGGUACCGGCAGAAGAAGGACCGGCUAACUACGUGCCAGCCGCCGCUGUAA
This 499-nucleotide ribosomal RNA is filed under the name uncultured bacterium. Its description in RNAcentral is "partial 16S ribosomal RNA". It matches the Rfam family "Bacterial small subunit ribosomal RNA", at positions 29 to 523 of the family's 1533-position model. The record is from RNAcentral.